This is a long non-coding RNA of Xiphophorus maculatus (southern platyfish), 371 nucleotides long. RefSeq lists it as uncharacterized. Lineage: Eukaryota; Metazoa; Chordata; Actinopteri; Cyprinodontiformes; Poeciliidae. The transcript has 3 exons. The record is from RefSeq and is a predicted model, not a curated record.
GGCGCCACAAGUUUGGAAGGAACCAGUUUCAUCCUCUCAGAGGUUCCGUUCGGUCUGACCCGGAUGGACCCCAACGGAACUUCCGGGAAGCUAACAUGUCUACCAUUACGUCAGAGGUGAAGGUCAGCAGAGCGAACCGAACCGGUAGGUUUCACCAGAACCAGUGAGGCCAGCCACCGAACCAAGUGGUACAGGAGAACUCGGCUUCAGAGGCAGAUUCUGAUGGAGCCGGCCCGGCCCGGCCCAGUGUACCUGAGGAGCACGACGACGGUUUCCCUGAACGAGCGCUUCUCUCAGCUACUGAUGACCCGGCUGACCCGACCCGGCAGGCCCGGUUUCAGGAGCCGCAGGAGGAGAGCGGCGCUGGUUCA